This 429-nucleotide ribosomal RNA is filed under the name uncultured eukaryote. RNAcentral describes it as "bacterial SSU rRNA". It matches the Rfam family "Eukaryotic small subunit ribosomal RNA", at positions 592 to 1018 of the family's 1831-position model. The record is from RNAcentral.
CAAGAGCGUAUAUUAAAGUUGUUGCAGUUAAAAAGCUCGUAGUUGGAUUUCUGGUACAAUGCGCCUGGCCCGCGGCAGUAAUGCUUGUGAGUGCCGGUGCGCGUUUGCCAUCCUUCUAGAAAACGUUUCUACCCUUUACUGGGCCGGACUCGCGAUCUAGAUCUUUUACUUUGAAAAAUUAGAGUGUUCAAAGCAGGCUUUUGCUGUGAAUACAUUAGCAUGGGAUAAUUUAAUAGGACUCUGGUGCUAUUUUGUUGGUUUCGAACACCGGAGUAAUGAUUAAAAGGGGCAGUCAGGGGCACUCGUAUUCCGUCGAGAGAGGUGAAAUUCUCAGACCAAUGGAAGACGAACCACUGCGAAAGCAUUUGCCAGGGAUGUUUUCACUGAUCAAGAACGAAAGUUAGGGGAUCGAAGAUGAUUAGAUACCAU